AAUUUUCUUUAGUUUAGACAUAAAUAGCGUAGGUGAGGGUUUAGCGUUGUUUAUAAAGAAUCCACAAAAUCUUUUUUUAAUCUGUUACUGACAGAUGGAAAUACCACAGCGUUUUUUCAGGGCAAAUUCAGUGCAUGUUGCUUGAGACAGCUUAGAGUAUGAAAUGCCAGCUAACUGGUCAAAACACAGGAAAAUAGCACUUUUCAUUAAAUUCUUCAGUCCUGAUAUGGGAAGUAGGGUGGUCGGGAGCCUUGAAUGCCAGGGGCUUGAGCUGGAUAUCUUCUGCUUUAAGAGAUGGAUGCCUCAUGGAACUCUUCAAAACAUGUAAUGCUUCUGUGCCUCACCUUCAAAGCUUUUUCUAAAACUAUAAAGCUUUGUCUUUCGUUCACCUCAUUUCCUUAGUUUUCAAGGAAACUCUUCAGAGCAUGCGGCUCUAUUACGCACGUGUAUGCAGUGGGUUGACCUUGGCCAGCAGCCAGAGGCCCAACCAGCCACCCUCUCACUACCCUUCCUCAGCGGGACAGGCAGGGGGAGCAAAUAUGAUGAAAAAGCUUGAAGGUAAAGAUAAAGAGAGGGAGGUUGCUCACUAGUUACUGUCACGGGCAAAACAGAUUCGACUUAGGGAAAAUUAGUUUAAUUUAUUGCCAAUGAAAAAAUCUUUGGCUUUUUUGAGAAACGAAGACAAACAUUGAACCAUGCCUUUUCCCCACACCCUUUCUCAGGCUUCACUCUUUCGUUCCCAACUUCUCUUCCAGGGAAUGGGGGCUGUGGUGGGUCUAUAACAGCUCCUCUCCACCGCUCCUCAUGGCUUUCCCCUGCUCCACCAUAGGCCUCUCCAUGGGCUGCAGGCCCAUGCUCUGCCAUGGAGCCCCUCCUUCUCCUCCUCCUUCUCUGACCUUUUCCUUUGCCCUGUUGUUUCUAUUUUCUCCCUCUUUAUCUGUCUGUUUAGUGUUUUUGCCCUUUCUUAAAUAUUUUUUCCCUGAGGCACCACCAGCUUGGCUGAAGGGCCUGCGCACCCAGGGGUGGGCAGGAAACAGGCAGCCAUGUUCUCAAACUGUAGCCUAUGUCCCUCAGAUCACCAUCUAUCAAAACGGAACUCGUGCUAAGGAUGGUGUCAUUAGCACUAUAAUGUGAUGAAACACAAGAAGGCUGUGGACAGUACUAGCUGAAAAUAAAGAAAUAAAAAACAGUGCCA
Molecule: long non-coding RNA, 1195 nt
Filed under: Anser brachyrhynchus (Pink-footed goose)
Lineage: Eukaryota; Metazoa; Chordata; Aves; Anseriformes; Anatidae
Description: lncRNA (ENSABRG00000019852.1)
Source: RNAcentral